GUUUUUGGAACAGAAAAUUUUGCAUAAAAAUGAUGUAAAAUUAUUUUACAAAAUUAAAAUGGUUUCACUUAAUAAUCUUAACUCAUGUUGAUGCUAUACUUAAUUGAGAAUUAAAAAAUAUAUUAUAGAUCUAGAAUUGUGAUUAAAGAUCUAAUGACAUUGCAUAAAAUAUGGGGCAUGGGUUAGCUCAAAUCAGGUUCUUUUAAUUGGGUUAAACUGAAGAUUAGAAUCAAAGACUUAAUGGACUAAAAAGAGUAGUUGAUCCAAUCUAACCAAUAGUUGAUUUUGAUUAGAUCAAGGAUACUCUAGAUCAAAAAUAAUAGUUGUAAAUGAUGGAGUCUAUAUCUUUGAUUAAACCAAAUGGACCUUGAUUAAGACUCAAAAGUUGAGCCCAAAUCAUUAGGCUGAUU
Molecule: long non-coding RNA, 410 nt
Filed under: Elaeis guineensis (African oil palm)
Lineage: Eukaryota; Viridiplantae; Streptophyta; Magnoliopsida; Arecales; Arecaceae
Description: long non-coding RNA (EGUI_LNC035374)
Source: RNAcentral